GUUAUAAUACUAAAUUGGUUUGUUCAAAAAAUAAUAUGUUUGAAUUGGUUUGGAUAACCAUUGGUUUAUAUGGUUCAUGCUAUAAAUAAUUGAGAAUCAUUAAUUAAUAUUUGCAAUAUAAUCUUUGAUUGGUUUGAUUGUUUGGUUUUAAAAUCUUUGAGCACUAAAGAACUUGAUAUCAUUAAUAAUCAUCAACGCUUGUCUAU
Molecule: long non-coding RNA, 206 nt
Filed under: Brassica napus (rape)
Lineage: Eukaryota; Viridiplantae; Streptophyta; Magnoliopsida; Brassicales; Brassicaceae
Description: long non-coding RNA (BNAP_LNC016323)
Source: RNAcentral